Molecule: long non-coding RNA, 616 nt
Organism: Gossypium raimondii (Peruvian cotton)
Lineage: Eukaryota; Viridiplantae; Streptophyta; Magnoliopsida; Malvales; Malvaceae
Exons: 2
Source: RefSeq, a predicted model, not a curated record
UUGCUAAAGUGAUUAAAUAGCUUAACAAUUAAAUAAGGAAGGACUAAAAGAGAAAAUGGACCAAUUUAGGGGCUGAGAUGACAUACCGUUAAAAAAAAUCUAAGAUUUUUAUGUAUUAAGGACAAAAUUGGAAUUACAAUAAAGUUUAUGUGGCCAAAUUUUAUUUUAAGCAUUUCAAGACCAUUUCUUCUUGAAAUUUCGGUGGGAGACAGCCAUGGAAGAGGGUUUGGAGCUGGUAUUCCAUAUUUUGGCUUCACGGAGAGGAAUAUGUACAAAUUUACUGAUCUCUCAAAUUUGGUGACACUGACAGCAGCAUAUAGCAUUUGGUUUCUCUCUCUGAUGGUCCAAAUCAUCGCCAUGACAUUGCAUGUGCAUCAUGUGAUGUGAUCUUAUGUUUCAUUACAAGAUAUUGAAUUAUAUAGCUUAUCUGUCAUCAAAUGAAGAAGCCCCUUGACCUCAUGACGGAUCAACAAUUAUUAUCAUAUAUAUCAUGUUCAUUUCCUACUGUCACUAUAUAUAGUUCAGCUAUAGGGUUUUAAGGUUGAAUCAUUCGGUGUUGUUUGGAACAUUAUUGUUGAAUUUGGCAAUAUACAUAUAUUGAAUGGUGUUGAAUCUA